This 787-nucleotide ribosomal RNA is filed under the name uncultured bacterium. RNAcentral's name for it is "bacterial SSU rRNA". It matches the Rfam family "Bacterial small subunit ribosomal RNA", at positions 1 to 731 of the family's 1533-position model. The record is from RNAcentral.
AGGGGGUUUUGGAUCAUGGCUCAGGGUGAACGCUGGCGGCGUGGAUAAGGCAUGCAAGUCGAAUGUCACUUUCGGGUGGCAUGGCAGACGAGGUAGUAACACGUAGGUUUACGUACCCAAGAGUCGGGCAUAACCCAUCGAAAGGUGGAAUAAUUCCCGAUAGUCCGAGCUCUACUCCUAUUUCUUAAUCUUAUUGAACCAAGCUUAUGCGAGGAUAACUCGCCUAUGGCGAGGGAAAGUAAUUGUCAUUAAGAGAUGAGAGUAGUGCUCGGUAAAGAUUUAUCGCUCUUGGAACGGCCUGCGGGAUAUCAGCUUGUUGGUAAGGUAACUGCUUACCAAGGCUAUGACGUCUAGGGGAGGUGAGAGCCUGGCCCCCACCGAUGGGACUGAGACACGGCCCAUACUCCUACGGGAGGCCGCAGUCGAGAAUCUUCCGCAAUGGACGAAAGUCUGACGGAGCGACGCCGCGUGGUUGAUGAAGCAUUUCGAUGCGUAAAGACCUUUUAUUGGGGACGAAGUUUAUUGACGGUACCCAAUGAAUAAGGGGCUCCCAAACUCGUGCCAGCAGGAGCGGUAAUACGAGUGCCCCAAGCGUUACCCGGAUUCACUGGGCGUAAAGGGUGUGUAGGCGGCGUUGUUAGUCGUAUGUUAAAGCCUUGGGCCCAACCCAAGAUCUGCAUGCGAAACGGCAAUGCUCGAGGAUGUGAGGGGUCUAUGGAACUCAUAGUGUAGGGGGUGAAAUCCGUUGAUAUUAUUGGGGCACACCAAAGCUAAGGCAAUUAGACUG